UACAGAGGGUGCGAGCGUUAGUCGGAAUUACUGGGCGUAAAGCGUGCGUAGACGGUUAUUUAAGUCGGAUGUGAAAGCCCCGGGCUCAACCUGGGAAUUGCAUUCGAGACUGAAUAGCUAGGGUACGGUAGAGGGAAGUGGAAUUUCCGGUGUAGCGGUGAAAUGCGUAGAUAUCGGAAGGAACAUCAGUGGCGAAAGCGACUUCCUGGACCAGUACCGACGUUCAGGCACGAAAGCGUGGGGAGCAAACAGG
RNAcentral lists this ribosomal RNA (253 nucleotides) under uncultured bacterium. RNAcentral describes it as "partial 16S ribosomal RNA". It matches the Rfam family "Bacterial small subunit ribosomal RNA", at positions 524 to 776 of the family's 1533-position model. The record is from RNAcentral.